This 468-nucleotide ribosomal RNA is filed under the name uncultured bacterium. RNAcentral describes it as "partial 16S ribosomal RNA". It matches the Rfam family "Bacterial small subunit ribosomal RNA", at positions 28 to 507 of the family's 1533-position model. The record is from RNAcentral.
GACGAACGCUGGCGGCGUGCUUAACACAUGCAAGUCGAACGGAAAGGCCCUGCGUUUGCGGGUCUCUCGAUUGGCGAGGGGGGGAGAAACACAUGUGUAUCCUGCCCCUGUCUGAGUGGGAACUCUUGGAGACUCGGGCGAUUACCGCGGAUGAUCUCUUGAUCCGCGGGGUGGGUUGGAAAAUUUCGGCUGUGGGGGAUGGACUCGCGGCUUAUGCGCUGGUUGGGGAGGUAGUGGCUGACCAGGGGUUCGACGGGUAGCCGGCCUGGGAGGGUGACCGGCCACAUUGGGACUGAGAUACGGACCAGACUCCAACGGGAGGCAGCAGUGGGGAAUAUUGCACAAUGGGCGGAAGCCUGAUGCAGAAACGCUGCGUGCGGGAUGACGGCCUUCGGGUUGUAAACCGCUUUCGACUGUGACGAAGAGUGAGUGACGGUAAUGGGUAAAGAAGCACCGGCUAACUACGUG